This 1742-nucleotide long non-coding RNA is filed under the name Musa acuminata (dwarf banana). Its description in RNAcentral is "long non-coding RNA (MACU_LNC004742)". The record is from RNAcentral. Lineage: Eukaryota; Viridiplantae; Streptophyta; Magnoliopsida; Zingiberales; Musaceae.
CUAAUCACAAUUUUAACUCAUGAUUCACUCCAACAAACUAAUUGUAAAACACACUGUUGCACAAUAAAAGGAAGCAAUCAACCAUACAAGGCACAGUAAAUAGUUACAAGCCUUUCUUAAUAGACAAUGAGUGACCAAAGGAGUCAGCAAAAACACUCCUUUGGUGUUUGGUAAAUCUUAUGGGGCAGUUCAGAAUUCUGGAGGAGAAAAAAUGUCCUCAAACUCUACAAGCCUGACAGCAUAUUCUCACCCAAUAAGAAAAGAAUUUGUAAGGUAAAAUCAAUACUCAAUAGAUUUUGUGCAGGUGGUGAGAGGAAUGAAUCAACGACGAAUUCUUAACCAGCCUUGCCUUUCUGACGAGUCUCUGAUGCAAACAGGACAGCAAAAUUGAGGUUAAAAGGCUUAAAUCAUGGGACAGAAAGAAACUAGUAAACAGUCACUGGGCUUUCCCGGCUUCAUUUUGGUGGGCAACGAGUUCAUUCUCCUGGUGCAGUGAUCUUCAACUUCUUUUUGGACACAGGCUUCUUCUUCCUCGGUGGAAGUGUCAUUUGAGCAUAAGAACGCAUAGUUGCCAACAAGGAACAACAGCACAAGCCCACCGAUAACUUAGUUGCCUUCUCCCUGUUGAAGUUUCCCUGCUGUCAAAACAUACACUCAUACAAGGAAAGGGCAUGAUAGUUGAGAAACAGUAAUAUGAUUCUGAGAUCAGAUGAUAAGCAAGUUUAGUUGAAGUCAAGAACAGCACUUAAGACACUGAGAUGGAAGAUCAGAACAAGAUAACGAAAAAGAAAGGCCAAAUUCUAAGUCAAUUAGUUCUAUCAUUCACCAUAUGAACACCAUAAAUAUAUAAGUAAGAAAUGAUAUGGCAUCGAUGAUGGCAAGUAAUAAAUGAUUGUCACUAUUAUUUUACAAAAGAAAAGAAAAAAGAAUCGUAAGUUCAAUCUGCUUAAACCCUCUGAAGCAUGGAGAUGGACGCGACAUAUGAACUCCUAUAGAAGACAGACACCUUGUGAAUCUCAAAUCUUGCAGCUAGACUACUGGUUGAAGCACAAACAGGGCACAGGCAACAAAUCAUAAUCGAUGCAGGAUAGAAAUUUCCACUAACAAUGAUUACUUUAUGGAACACUACGAACUUGCUUUGCAAGUAUCUCACAGAUCCCGCUUGAAAUAGGGUACUGGCAUUCACAAUCUUUACUCGUCUAAACACCAUUUCGGGCGUUCAGCACAUCGAUCUCAUUAUCGUGCUCUAUGAGUUAAAUCGUUUAAAAGGAUAUGAAUAAUUGUAAGCAUUCAGUGUGGAACAUCAACUGAGGGAGCAGUGAUUGAUGCAAUAAUGGUACCAAUCAACAUCAGAUCUGCACCGAUCUCACACAACCGCAGCGCGAUACGUGCGGCGAUAACACAUCAAAAGCGAAGAUCAGAAGAUGAGGCCUUACGGAAGUUUCGGAGAACUGUUCAUCCAUGGCGACAGAUCGCACCAAAAGCCGCCCCGCACCCUCUUCUGCGUGCGUCACGCGUCCGGUUGAUAGGAGAAAUCGAUGGCUCUAAAGGAGGUGGAAACCCACCGGAGAAAGAGGACAUCGAAGGGACGAAUCAAGAUGGCUGCCUCUUACCUUCCAGCGAUUCCAGAAUCGGAAGGAUUCGCUGGAUUCGACAAGACGAGGUGAAAGAAUAACCGGAGAUGCGACGGGACGGAUAGAGCACGGGUUAAAAUAUUAGGUGUAGACAUCCGACGGGUCAAU